UGGGGAAUUUUGGACAAUGGGCGAAAGCCUGAUCCAGCAAUGCCGCGUGUGUGAAGAAGGCCUUCGGGUUGUAAAGCACUUUUGUCCGGAAAGAAAUCCUUGGCUCUAAUACAGUCGGGGGAUGACGGUACCGGAAGAAUAAGCACCGGCUAACUACGUGCCAGCAGCCGCGGUAAUACGUAGGGUGCAAGCGUUAAUCGGAAUUACUGGGCGUAAAGCGUGCGCAGGCGGUUUGCUAAGACCGAUGUGAAAUCCCCGGGCUCAACCUGGGAACUGCAUUGGUGACUGGCAGGCUAGAGUAUGGCAGAGGGGGGUAGAAUUCCACGUGUAGCAGUGAAAUGCGUAGAGAUGUGGAGGAAUACCGAUGGCGAAGGCAGCCCCCUGGGCCAAUACUGACGCUCAUGCACGAAAGCGUGGGGAGCAAACAGGAUUAGAUACCCUGGUAGUCCACGCCCUAAACGAUGUCAACUAGUUGUUGGGGAUUCAUUUCCUUAGUAACGUAGCUAACGCGUGAAGUUGACCGCCUGGGGAGUACGGGUCGCAAGAUUAAAACUCAAAUGAAUUGACGGGGUCAUAGCUGUUUCCU
This 586-nucleotide ribosomal RNA is filed under the name uncultured bacterium. Its description in RNAcentral is "partial 16S ribosomal RNA". It matches the Rfam family "Bacterial small subunit ribosomal RNA", at positions 355 to 1375 of the family's 1533-position model. The record is from RNAcentral.